AGUAAGAUAAGCUAAAUAAAGCUUUUGGGCCCAUACCCCGAAUAUGAUACUCCUAAUAUCUCUUACUA
This 68-nucleotide transfer RNA is filed under the name Ichthyomyzon gagei. RNAcentral describes it as "tRNA-Met". Lineage: Eukaryota; Metazoa; Chordata; Hyperoartia; Petromyzontiformes; Petromyzontidae. The record is from RNAcentral. RNAcentral also lists the same sequence under 1 other name.